AGAUAAUCGAUGAGCAAGAAGAGUAGCUUUUGUUUUUCAGCGAGUUCGGGAAGGUGUGAGCCGAACAAUCAAGAAAGUGAAGCGCACUUGUGAGAUUUUGCCUAGCAAACGGAAUUCUGCCGUUAUCAGAAAUAAGUAGGUCUUUUAAGAAUCAUUCCUUAAAGGACAAAUAGAGUGGUACCGCGGGAAAUCUCGUCUCUAGU
This 203-nucleotide non-coding RNA is filed under the name Enterococcus sp. RNAcentral's name for it is "T-box sequence". It matches the Rfam family "T-box leader". Rfam says of the family: Uncharged tRNA acts as the effector for transcription antitermination of genes in the T-box leader family. T-boxes are found upstream of many aminoacyl-tRNA synthetase genes and some amino acid biosynthetic genes usually in Gram-positive bacteria. The record is from RNAcentral. Lineage: Bacteria; Bacillati; Bacillota; Bacilli; Lactobacillales; Enterococcaceae.